This 881-nucleotide ribosomal RNA is filed under the name uncultured archaeon. Its description in RNAcentral is "bacterial SSU rRNA". It matches the Rfam family "Archaeal small subunit ribosomal RNA", at positions 17 to 879 of the family's 1478-position model. The record is from RNAcentral.
CCGGACCCCACUGCUAUCGAGGUGGGACUAAGCCAUGCUAGUCGAACGAACAGAACUAUGUCUGUUAGUGGCAUACUGCUCAGUAACACGUAGCUAACCUACCCUUAGGACGUCGAUAACCCCGAGAAAUUGGGGCUAAUAAGCGAUAGAUGUGAUGUCCUGGAAUGGUAUCACGUCCAAAAGUGUCCCAUACAUGUUUGGUACACGCCUAAGGAUGGGGCUGCGGCCGAUCAGGCUGUUGGUGAGGUAAUGGCUCACCAAACCAUUGACCGGUACGGGCCAUGAGAGUGGUAGCCCGGAGAUGGACACUGAGACAAGGGUCCAGGCCCUACGGGGCGCAGCAGGCGCGAAACCUCCUCAAUGCACUAACGUGCGAAGGGGCUACCUCGAGUGCCAUCUGAUGAAGGUGGCUUUUCCUUGGUCUAAAAAGCCUUGGGAAUAAGAGGGGGGCAAGACUGGUGUCAGCCGCCGCGGUAACACCAGCCCCUCGAGUGGUGGGGAUGAUUAUUUGGCCUAAAGCGUCCGUAGCCGGCCGGAUAAGUUUCCCGUUAAAUCUAGCGUCUCAAGCGUUAGCCUGCGGGAAAUACUGUCUGGCUAGAGAGUGGGAAAGGUCUGCGGUAUUCUGGGGGUAGGGGCGAAAUCCUUUGAUCCCCGGAGGACCACCAGUGGCGAAAGCUGUAGACUAGAACACGUCUGACGGUCAGGGACGAAAGCUGGGGUAGCGAACCGGAUUAGAUACCCGGGUAGUCCCAGCCGUAAACGAUGCAUGCUAGUGUUGGGUUGGCCACGAGCCACCCCAGUGCCGCAGGAAAGCCGUUAAGCAUGCCGCCUGGGAAGUACGAUCGCAAGGUUGAAACUUAAAGGAAUUGGCGGGGGAGCAC